RNAcentral lists this ribosomal RNA (496 nucleotides) under uncultured bacterium. RNAcentral's name for it is "partial 16S ribosomal RNA". It matches the Rfam family "Bacterial small subunit ribosomal RNA", at positions 30 to 523 of the family's 1533-position model. The record is from RNAcentral.
AUUGAACGCUGGCGGAAUGCUUUACACAUGCAAGUCGAACGGUAGAGGGGGCAACCCCUCGAGAGUGGCGAACGGGUGAGUAAUAUAUCGGAACGUGCCCAGUCGCGGGGGAUAACGUAGCGAAAGUUACGCUAAUACCGCAUACGAUCUAAGGAUGAAAGCGGGGGAUCGCACGACCUCGCGCGAUUGGAGCGGCCGAUAUCGGAAUAGGUAGUUGGUGGGGUAAAGGCUCACCAAGCCAACGAUCUGUAGCUGGUCUGAGAGGACGACCAGCCACACUGGAACUGAGACACGGUCCAGACUCCUACGGGAGGCAGCAGUGGGGAAUUUUGGACAAUGGACGCAAGUCUGAUCCAGCCAUUCCGCGUGCAGGAUGAAGGCCCUCGGGUUGUAAACUGCUUUUGUACGGAACGAAAAGGUCUCUCUUAAUACGGGGGACUCAUGACGGUACCGUAAGAAUAAGCACCGGCUAACUACGUGCCAGCCGCCGCAGUAA